GACGUAGGGCGCGAGCGUUGUCCGGAUUUAUUGGGUGUAAAGAGCUCGUAGGCGGUUUGUCGCGUCUGCUGUGAAAACUCGGGGCUUAACCCCGGGCCUGCAGUGGGUACGGGCAGACUAGAGUGCGGUAGGGGAGACUGGAAUUCCUGGUGUAGCGGUGAAAUGCGCAGAUAUCAGGAGGAACACCGGUGGCGAAGGCGGGUCUCUGGGCCGUAACUGACGCUGAGGAGCGAAAGCGUGGGGAGCGAACAGG
This 253-nucleotide ribosomal RNA is filed under the name uncultured bacterium. RNAcentral's name for it is "partial 16S ribosomal RNA". It matches the Rfam family "Bacterial small subunit ribosomal RNA", at positions 524 to 776 of the family's 1533-position model. The record is from RNAcentral.